Molecule: long non-coding RNA, 498 nt
Organism: Marmota monax (woodchuck)
Lineage: Eukaryota; Metazoa; Chordata; Mammalia; Rodentia; Sciuridae
Exons: 2
Source: RefSeq, a predicted model, not a curated record
CGCUGGAUGCCAGGAGCCACUCAGCGCUGGGCAGCUCAGCAGGACCCUACCUGGCAGAAGCGUCAGCCGCGGGUCCUGGAGUAGUUGGUCCCGCCUACCCUGUGUUGCGGCUCCUCGGGUUUCUAUCCAAGGAUGAAGAUCUGUGCUAGCCCAGAAGUGACGAUGCUUCUGCAGCAGAUGGGAGGGUGGAUGAUGACUUGCCACCACAGAGGCCCACAUCACAGCCAUCCUUAGAGACACUGAUCCUCACUGUCACACUCAAGCUCCAGGCUUCCUUCCUGCCGUGCUGUCCUCCCACCCCUCCUCAGAGAUGAAUGGAUCCCCAGCAAGCACGAGAGUGGAGCCAACUGAUUUCAAAACACAGCAUUGAGGAAAAACCCUGUGAAGGCAUUCGGUCAACUCCGCAUGUGGACAGCAUGUCAGGACUUCCCACUUGAUGAUCUAGUCAAUAUCAUCUCUUUGCAAUGAUGAAAAAUAAUAAAUAAACCUGAAUAUUCA